AUGAACGCUGGCGGCGUGCCUAAUACCUGCCAGUCGAGCGAACAGAUGAGGAGCUUGCUCCUCUGACGUUCGCGGCGGACGGGUGAGUAACACGUGGAUAACCUACCUAUAAGACUGGGAUAACUUCGGGAAACCGGAGCUAAUACCGGAUAAUAUAUUGAACCGCAUGGUUCAAUAGUGAAAGACGGUUUUGCUGUCACUUAUAGAUGGAUCCGCGCCGCAUUAGCUAGUUGGUAAGGUAACGGCUUACCAAGGCAACGAUGCGUAGCCGACCUGAGAGGGUGAUCGGCCACACUGGAACUGAGACACGGUCCAGACUCCUACGGGAGGCAGCAGUGGGGAAUCUUCCGCAAUGGGCGAAAGCCUGACGGAGCAACGCCGCGUGAGUGAUGAAGGUCUUCGGAUCGUAAAACUCUGUUAUUAGGGAAGAACAAAUGUGUAAGUAACUAUGCACGUCUUGACGGUACCUAAUCAGAAAGCCACGGCUAACUACGUG
Molecule: ribosomal RNA, 496 nt
Filed under: uncultured bacterium
Lineage: Bacteria
Description: partial 16S ribosomal RNA
Rfam family: Bacterial small subunit ribosomal RNA
Source: RNAcentral